GCAGGAUGAAGCUCUCUCUGAAGCAUUCGGAUGUUGGCACUUUCCAGGUGCGAAUGCUGCAGUCCAUAAUGAACGUAUUUGCUUCCAGUAUCCUGCUCCCGCGUCUUAAUGCCAGGUUAGAUCAGGGCUUCCCUCUGCCGCUGCCGGACAGAAUACAGCUCUCCAAUAUCCUCGUGCGGUUUCACCAG
Aptenodytes forsteri (emperor penguin) is the source of this 188-nucleotide long non-coding RNA. RefSeq lists it as uncharacterized. The transcript is spliced from 3 exons. The record is from RefSeq and is a predicted model, not a curated record. NCBI's taxonomy places the organism in Eukaryota, Metazoa, Chordata, Aves, Sphenisciformes, Spheniscidae.